AAUGCUGCUGCUGCUGCUGCCGGGGCGGGCCCCCGCCCGGGAGGGAGGAGACUCCGCGCUCCGAGAACGUGCACCAGUGGCCGCGCGCUCCCGCCGAGCAUCCCUCGGGCCGGGCUCGCCGCGCCGGGCGCUCCAGUUGAAAGAAUUUGUGGAAGACUAGUUAUUUCUUUAUGGGAGCAGUAUCAAGACUGAAAGGAUAUAAUGCCACUAUGAAAACUCUUUUUCUCUUUUAACUUAUAAAGUGAGUGUAUUUGAUCUCUCACUCAGAGAAAGUCAAACUUAAAACUCCAGAAUGCCAUUUUUACACAGACAAGGUGGAUGAGGUCAUAUCUUGUACUGGACCAACUUCUGCUGGUGAGAGAGACAACCUUUCAAGCCACACAGAGCUCUUCAUAGUCAAACUGCAGUUUGGCUAUUACAAAGACUGUAGUAGGCACUCAGCAUGUGUCUCUAUCCAAUCCCCAAGUAUCGGACAAUAACCCAAAAUGAGAACGAGAAGAAAAUGAAGAUUACAGAAAGCUUCAGGUUCUCUCAUAUUAAUUUCUUGAACACAAUACAGAUAGUGGGCAUUAUAACAAAAAGAAGUCAAGGCCCACGCUUUCAAUAAUAGCUACCAAAUACGCGUCCAACCUGGGUCAGGUUUUUUGUAGGGAAUGGGAAGGAGGGAUAUUUUCUUUUGUUUUUUAGAUGCUGAGCACAAGUAGCUUCCACUGAGUUCAGCUGGAGUUGUGGAUGCUGAGCACUUUUGAAAAUCAACUUUGGACUUUCAGAAAUAAAGACACCCAAAAUCAACGGCUGCUGUAAAAAAUGCGACCCAAGUGACUUUUCCGUGGCCACACAGCAAAUCAGUGACUAUCAAGUGGCUAUCAAGAUGGAAAUUAACUCCCUGAAUAUUCUUAAAACAGAUCUUCAAAGCUUAUUUAAUUGACAACCUGUUAUAUCUUCACUGCUCAAGAUUAGCAUUCCCACAGGAUUCUGCAUUUAUUUGCUGGUUUUACUGUAUGCAUACACAGUUUGUGCUUUAAUUGAGAGAUGCUUCAGUUGAAUGUGCCUGAACAAUUAACUUGUCAGGCCAGCAUGGAUAGUGGACUUUCAUCCCAGAGAAAAGGAAUAAAUCUUGCCUUGACCUUUA
Molecule: long non-coding RNA, 1132 nt
Organism: Caretta caretta (loggerhead turtle)
Lineage: Eukaryota; Metazoa; Chordata; Testudines; Cheloniidae
Source: RefSeq, a predicted model, not a curated record